GGUCUUCAUAGCUCAGUUGGUGGAGCUCUGCAGCGCUAACGCAGAAGCCAUGGGUUCGAAUCCCGUUGAAGCCC
Molecule: transfer RNA, 74 nt
Filed under: Acropora cervicornis
Lineage: Eukaryota; Metazoa; Cnidaria; Anthozoa; Scleractinia; Acroporidae
Description: tRNA-Ser
Rfam family: tRNA
About the family: Transfer RNA (tRNA) molecules are approximately 80 nucleotides in length. Their secondary structure includes four short double-helical elements and three loops (D, anti-codon, and T loops).
Source: RNAcentral